RNAcentral lists this ribosomal RNA (301 nucleotides) under uncultured bacterium. RNAcentral's name for it is "partial 16S ribosomal RNA". It matches the Rfam family "Bacterial small subunit ribosomal RNA", at positions 509 to 807 of the family's 1533-position model. The record is from RNAcentral.
CAGCCGCCGCGGUAAUACGAAGGGUGCAAGCGUUAAUCGGAAUUACUGGGCGUAAAGCGUGCGUAGGUGGUGGUUUAAGUCCGUUGUGAAAGCCCUGGGCUCAACCUGGGAAUUGCAGUGGAUACUGGAUCACUAGAGUGUGGUAGAGGAUAGUGGAAUUUCCGGUGUAGCAGUGAAGUGCGUAGAGAUCGGAAGGAACAUCUGUGGCGAAGGCGACUAUCUGGGCCAACACUGACACUGAGGCACGAAAGCGUGGGGAGCAAACAGGAUUAGAUACCCCGGUAGUCCCUGUCUCUUAUAC